This 329-nucleotide unclassified non-coding RNA is filed under the name soil metagenome. Its description in RNAcentral is "partial contains 5.8S ribosomal RNA, internal transcribed spacer 2, and large subunit ribosomal RNA". The stretch from base 1 to 120 matches the Rfam family "5.8S ribosomal RNA", at positions 35 to 154 of the family's 154-position model. The record is from RNAcentral.
GAUGAAGAACGUAGCGAAAUGCGAUAAGUAAUGUGAAUUGCAGAAUUCAGUGAAUCAUCGAAUCUUUGAACGCACAUUGCGCCCCUUGGUAUUCCGAGGGGCAUGCCUGUUCGAGCGUCAUUUCAACCCUCAAGCACAGCUUGGUCUUGGGCUUCGCCGCUAACCCGGCGGGUCUUAAAAUCAGUGGCGGUGCCGUCGGGCCCUGAGCGCAGUAAUCUCUCUCGCUAUAGGGACCCGGCGGAUGCUGGCCAGUAACCCCAAUUUUCUAUGGUUGACCUCGGAUCAGGUAGGGAUACCCGCUGAACUUAAGCAUAUCAAUAAGCGGAGGA